RNAcentral lists this ribosomal RNA (411 nucleotides) under uncultured bacterium. RNAcentral describes it as "bacterial SSU rRNA". It matches the Rfam family "Bacterial small subunit ribosomal RNA", at positions 28 to 434 of the family's 1533-position model. The record is from RNAcentral.
GACGAACGCUGGCGGCACGCUUAACACAUGCAAGUCGAACGGAGAAUAUCGAAGCUUGCUUUGAUAUUCUUAGUGGCGGACGGGUGAGUAACACGUGAGUAACCUGCCUCUGAGAGUGGGAUAGCUUCUGGAAACGGAUGGUAAUACCGCAUGAAAUCAUAGUAUCGCAUGGUACAAUGAUCAAAGAUUUAUCGCUCAGAGAUGGACUCGCGUCUGAUUAGCUAGUUGGUAAGGUAACGGCUUACCAAGGCGACGAUCAGUAGCCGGACUGAGAGGUUGAUCGGCCACAUUGGGACUGAGACACGGCCCAGACUCCUACGGGAGGCAGCAGUGGGGAAUAUUGCACAAUGGGGGAAACCCUGAUGCAGCGAUGCCGCGUGGAGGAAGAAGGUUUUCGGAUUGUAAACUCCU